RNAcentral lists this ribosomal RNA (542 nucleotides) under uncultured bacterium. RNAcentral describes it as "bacterial SSU rRNA". It matches the Rfam family "Bacterial small subunit ribosomal RNA", at positions 355 to 912 of the family's 1533-position model. The record is from RNAcentral.
UGGGGAAUCUUGGACAAUGGGGGCAACCCUGAUCCAGCCAUGCCGCGUGAGUGAUGAAGGCCUUAGGGUCGUAAAGCUCUUUCGCCUGUGAAGAUAAUGACGGUAGCAGGUAAAGAAACCCCGGCUAACUCCGUGCCAGCAGCCGCGGUAAUACGGAGGGGGUUAGCGUUGUUCGGAAUUACUGGGCGUAAAGCGCACGUAGGCGGACCAGAAAGUUGGGGGUGAAAUCCCGGGGGCUCAACCCCGGAACUGCCUCCAAAACUAUUGGUCUAGAGUUCGAGAGAGGUGAGUGGAAUUCCAAGUGUAGAGGUGAAAUUCGUAGAUAUUUGGAGGAACACCAGUGGCGAAGGCGGCUCACUGGCUCGAUACUGACGCUGAGGUGCGAAAGUGUGGGGAGCAAACAGGAUUAGAUACCCUGGUAGUCCACACCGUAAAACGAUGAAUGCCAGUCGUCGGGUAGCAUGCUAUUCGGUGACACACCUAACGGAUUAAGCAUUCCGGCCUGGGGAGUACGGUCGCAAGAUUAAAACUCAAAUGAAUUG